UGGGGAAUAUUGCACAAUGGGGGAAACCCUGAUGCAGCGACGCCGCGUGAGGGAAGAAGGUUUUCGGAUUGUAAACCUCUGUCUUCAGGGACGAAAUUGACGGUACCUGAGGAGGAAGCUCCGGCUAACUACGUGCCAGCAGCCGCGGUAAUACGUAGGGAGCAAGCGUUGUCCGGAAUUACUGGGUGUAAAGGGAGCGUAGGCGGGAUUGCAAGUUGAAUGUGAAAGGUAACGGCUCAACUGUUACAUUGCGUUCAAAACUGCAGUUCUUGAGUGAAGUAGAGGCAGGCGGAAUUCCUAGUGUAGCGGUGAAAUGCGUAGAUAUUAGGAGGAACACCAGUGGCGAAGGCGGCCUGCUGGGCUUUAACUGACGCUGAGGCUCGAAAGCGUGGGGAGCAAACAGG
RNAcentral lists this ribosomal RNA (404 nucleotides) under uncultured prokaryote. Its description in RNAcentral is "bacterial SSU rRNA". It matches the Rfam family "Bacterial small subunit ribosomal RNA", at positions 355 to 776 of the family's 1533-position model. The record is from RNAcentral. RNAcentral also lists the same sequence under 1 other name.